GUGCAUUAAAUAAGUGCAAAUCAUGAUAUGGAAAAAUAUUAAGUUGUUCAUCUGACGUCAAAUCAAAUCGCAAACAAAUUGUGUUAGACAAUCCCACAUUUCCACGUUCAAGGGAUCAAAGGCAAGACGAGUCGAUAGCCCAUAUGCCAUAACUACACCAAAAAGAUCAUUUCCCACAAAACAGUCUUAGAUGAGCGAGUCCACUGCUGGACACAGGCCUGUCCCAAGCUACACCACAGAGCUUGCUCUGCGUCUUUAUGCAUCCAGUCGCUGCCGGCCCUCUUGUGUAAGUCGUCCCGCCAUCUGGCCAGAGGGCGUCCCACACUACGUUUGCCAAGACGCCGUCUCCACUCCAAAAAAAACGCAUAAAGCCCGGUAAUUAAAAUGGGUUCAUUCUUUUUAAGUUGGAAAACACCAGUGCAUACACAAAAUUGCUUGGCAACAAAAAUAGCUAAAGUGGUAGUAUCCACUCA
This is a long non-coding RNA of Manduca sexta (tobacco hornworm), 473 nucleotides long. RefSeq lists it as uncharacterized. NCBI's taxonomy places the organism in Eukaryota, Metazoa, Arthropoda, Insecta, Lepidoptera, Sphingidae. The transcript is spliced from 3 exons. The record is from RefSeq and is a predicted model, not a curated record.